CAAUUUCUCACGAUCCCUUCGGGGUGACGAGUUAUUGACUGAGUGGCGGACGGGUGAGUAACGCGUGGGUAACCUACCUUGUACAGGGGGACAACAGUUGGAAACGACUGCUAAUACCGCAUAANCGCACAGCAUCGCAUGAUGCAGUGUGAAAAGUUUUUUCGGUACAAGAUGGACCCGCGUCUGAUUAGCUAGUUGGUGAGGUAACGGCCCACCAAGGCGACGAUCAGUAGCCGACCUGAGAGGGUGACCGGCCACAUUGGGACUGAGACACGGCCCAAACUCCUACGGGAGGCAGCAGUGGGGAAUAUUGCACAAUGGGCGCAAGCCUGAUGCAGCGACGCCGCGUGAGCGAAGAAGUAUUUCGGUAUGUAAAGCUCUAUCAGCAGGGAAGAUAAUGACGGUACCUGACUAAGAAGCACCGGCUAAAUACGUGCCAGCAGCCGCGGUAAUACGUAUGGUGCAAGCGUUAUCCGGAUUUACUGGGUGUAAAGGGAGCGUAGGCGGUUUUACAAGUCUGAUGUGAAAGCCCGGGGCUCAACUCCGGUAUUGCAUUGGAAACUGUAGAACUAGAGUGUCGGAGGGGUAAGUGGAAUUCCUAGUGUAGCGGUGAAAUGC
Molecule: ribosomal RNA, 618 nt
Filed under: uncultured bacterium
Lineage: Bacteria
Description: bacterial SSU rRNA
Rfam family: Bacterial small subunit ribosomal RNA
Source: RNAcentral